GCGACUCCCCCGGGGCGGGGGUGGCGUGUGGUCUCUAGAAAACUGAGGGAAAGUAGACAGACCGUGCUCACCGAUUUAAAAGAACAGCCCUGAAAUGACCCCCGUUACACCCUGUUCUCUUUAGACAAGUGACUUCCACCUGGAGCGGUUUCUGGGCCCGGGCAUGGGGAUUUCCUCACCCGGCCCCCUAGGCUUUCACCUCGGUGGAAUUUCCCGCGCCCCCGCUGGGAUGAUUUAGGGACUGUUAGCUAGUGCUUGGCUGGGUGUGGAGAAGGAUCAAUCACAGCUGACUCCUCAGAGGUGACAGCCCCUGCCCCCUUAAAAACAAGAAAAGACCUAGCAGUGUGAAGCCAAACUGCACCCCCAGCCCCGGUGACAUGAGGAAACCAUGAGGCGCUCAGCCUGAGGUUCAUCGUUCAUCUCCUUCCUGCUUGGAAUCAGAAUGUCCUCACUGCUGAGUUUCUCCGUUUUAUGGGAUUACAUUAGUGGACAAAGGAGUGAAGCAAAGCAGCACUGAGCUCCUCCGAGUAAAGAAAGAAUUGUUUUCUGUACAACCUGGAGCUGAAUCAUAGAAGGAGAAGACAGCUUGAAAGAUAAGAGGCCGUAAGGCAGACCACAGAGGAUGGGGAGGAUUUCCCCAGCACCCCAGCCCCCACAGUCAGCUCUGGUUCAGCGAUUUCAGCAACUCUUUCAUGACCCAUCUGAUUUUGUUUUAUCCCAGCCCUGCAGAGAAAGGACUCUGCAGGUCAGGACUUGCUUCUUCAAC
Molecule: non-coding RNA, 766 nt
Filed under: Pongo abelii (Sumatran orangutan)
Lineage: Eukaryota; Metazoa; Chordata; Mammalia; Primates; Hominidae
Source: RNAcentral